Molecule: transfer RNA, 85 nt
Filed under: Felis catus (domestic cat)
Lineage: Eukaryota; Metazoa; Chordata; Mammalia; Carnivora; Felidae
Also listed under: 4 other names
Rfam family: tRNA
About the family: Transfer RNA (tRNA) molecules are approximately 80 nucleotides in length.
Source: Rfam by way of RNAcentral
GCCUGGGUGGCUCAGUUGGUUAAGCAUCUGACUUCGGUUCAGGUCAUGAUCUCACAGUUCAUGGGUUCAUGUCCCACAUCAGGCU